RNAcentral lists this ribosomal RNA (439 nucleotides) under uncultured bacterium. RNAcentral describes it as "bacterial SSU rRNA". It matches the Rfam family "Bacterial small subunit ribosomal RNA", at positions 338 to 795 of the family's 1533-position model. The record is from RNAcentral.
CCUACGGGUCGCAGCAGUGGGGAAUAUUGCACAAUGGAGGGAACUCUGAUGCAGCAACGCCGCGUGAACGAUGAAGGCUUUCGAGUCGUAAAGUUCUUUUAUAUGGGAAGAUAAUGACGGUAUCAUAAGAAAAAGCCCCGGCUAACUACGUGCCAGCAGCCGCGGUAAUACGUAGGGGGCUAGCGUUGUCCGGAAUCACUGGGCGUAAAGGGUUCGCAGGCGGAAAUGCAAGUCAGGUGUAAAAGGCAGUAGCUUAACUACUGUAAGCGUUUGAAACUGCAUAUCUUGAGAAGAGUAGAGGUAAGUGGAAUUUUUAGUGUAGCGGUGAAAUGCGUAGAUAUUAAAAAGAAUACCGGUGGCGAAGGCGACUUACUGGGCUCAUUCUGACGCUGAGGAACGAAAGCGUGGGUAGCAAACAGGAUUAGAUACCCGAGUAGUC